CCUGAAACCUAGACGGAGACGUGCGAGAAACAGAUUUUGAACAUGAAAAGAGCAGCUGUGUUGGCUGAUACAGCCCUCUAUCCCCAGGCUGCCACCUCUCCCCUCUCCAACGGCCUUUACUUAACGGAACCUGGUUGCAGAGGCAGCUGGCUGAGCAUGUCUGCUCCUGCUGAAAUCUCACCACAGAUGCGGCUGCUUCAUAAUGACUAUAAUCAGAGCAAGCUGCAUUUACUCUGUAAAAAUCCAGGAGGGUCCGUGAAGGAGAGACACAAACACUGGACACAAGCACAGGAAGGAGACAGGGAUGAAGAACGCUGCUGA
Molecule: long non-coding RNA, 321 nt
Filed under: Scophthalmus maximus (turbot)
Lineage: Eukaryota; Metazoa; Chordata; Actinopteri; Pleuronectiformes; Scophthalmidae
Description: lncRNA (ENSSMAG00000025998.1)
Source: RNAcentral